This 1052-nucleotide ribosomal RNA is filed under the name uncultured bacterium. Its description in RNAcentral is "bacterial SSU rRNA". It matches the Rfam family "Bacterial small subunit ribosomal RNA", at positions 28 to 1088 of the family's 1533-position model. The record is from RNAcentral.
GACGAACGCUGGCGGCGUGCCUAACACAUGUAAGUCGAACGGAGUUUAAAUGAGAGCUUGCUCUGAUUUAAAUUUAGUGGCGGACGGGUGAGUAACGCGUGAGCAACCUGCCUUUUUGAGGGGGAUAACACCGGGAAACCGGUGCUAAUACCGCAUAAUAUAUUGAGGUCGCAUGGCAUUGAUAUCAAAGGAGCAAUCCGCAAAAAGAUGGGCUCGCGUCCGAUUAGCUAGUUGGUGGGGUAAAAGCCUACCAAGGCGACGAUCGGUAGCCGGACUGAGAGGUUGAACGGCCACAUUGGGACUGAGACACGGCCCAAACUCCUACGGGAGGCAGCAGUGGGGGAUAUUGCACAAUGGGGGAAACCCUGAUGCAGCAACGCCGCGUGAGGGAAGAAGGUUUUCGGAUUGUAAACCUCUGUCCUAGGUGAAGAAAGAAAUGACGGUAGCCUGGGGGGAAGCUCCGGCUAACUACGUGCCAGCAGCCGCGGUAAUACGUAGGGAGCGAGCGUUGUCCGGAAUUACUGGGUGUAAAGGGUGCGUAGGCGGCCUUGUGGGUCAGGCGUGAAAUACAUGGGCUUAACCUAUGGACUGCGCUUGAAACUAUAAGGCUUGAGUGAAGUAGAGGCAGGCGGAAUUCCCGGUGUAGCGGUGAAAUGCGUAGAGAUCGGGAGGAACACCAGUGGCGAAGGCGGCCUGCUGGGCUUUAACUGACGCUGAGGCACGAGAGCAUGGGUAGCAAACAGGAUUAGAUACCCUGGUAGUCCAUGCCGUAAACGAUGAUUACUAGGUGUGGGUGGUCUGACCCCAUCCUGCCGGAUUUACCAAAUAAGUAUCCACCUGGGAAGUACAACCGCAAGGGUGAAACUCAAAGGAAUUGACGGGGGGCCGCCCAACAUUGGGAUAUUUUGGUUUAAUUUCACCACAUCCUAAAUAACUUUACCCAGUCUUGUAAUCCCUUUGAAGAGAAUAAAAUAUGUAAUCCCUUUCGAACCAAGAAACCAGGGGGGCCUGGAUGCCGCCCUUCUGUGUUCUGACAGUUUGGGCGAAAUCCC